Long non-coding RNA from Helicoverpa zea (corn earworm), 767 nucleotides. RefSeq lists it as uncharacterized. The record is from RefSeq and is a predicted model, not a curated record. The transcript is spliced from 2 exons. Lineage: Eukaryota; Metazoa; Arthropoda; Insecta; Lepidoptera; Noctuidae.
UCACAAAAAUAAAAUAGAAAGUGGAGGUAAAACGUAAAUAAAUUCAUACCGUGACUAAUCGCAAUCCUGACUAAGCAUCACUCAGCGACGACUUUUUUCACACAGAUGAAAUGUGGUGUUAAACACAUUCACAGAGCCGUAACUGGUUGCAACAUCUGUUUUCAUUGUGCCACCGAUCAUUGCCGACAUAUAUUAGUGCAAAAUAAGCAAUUAUAAGUUGUGCAAACUCGUAAAAUACAAUUUUUACAUAGCUGUUAGUUGCCAGCAGUCCACAUUGAGUGAGUAUAUUUUACAGUAAUUUUUUUUUCCCGUAUACGUGCAUACAAUAUGUUUUAUUAUAUAUUAAUUUUACAUUUCAGUUACCUACCCUAUGUUCUUGAGAAGAAAAAAAAAAUGCAUAUUAAGUAAUCAUAUCAUUCAGGCGAAGGUACAUAAGACGUUUGCAAGUGCAAAGUUCACUUCCCUGUACAAAAAUGAUCACCGUGCACCAUGUACACGCCGUAGGGUGCACCUAUUGCCAGAAGGCCAUACCCACAAGGCCUCCAGACAUGGCGCACCCAUAACGCAUCAUGGCCGGUGACCCAAGAGAGACCAGGAAUACUCAAUUUAAGCUGUGAGAAUACACUACACACAUUACAUACACAUUAGCCUCACGCAUUGUCAUAAAACUACAGUAGUAUGCUAAGUGGGCGAUAUAAAUAAGAUUUAUAUCCGUUUCUUAUUGAUAUAAUUUAAAAUUUAGAUAAUAGAAAUAUUUGCCUUCGUCA